UUAUUUUCUAAAGAGCAAGUAUUUAAUUUUUUUUUUUUUUUUUUUUUUUUGGAAAACUCAUGUGAUAGGCACAGCAGAAAGUGAACAUUUUCAUAGAGCUGAAGAAGAUAAUGAGGCAUUGGACGAUGAAAUAGACGAUUCUGAAGGUAGGCUGUUUAUUUUAUGAUAGUCAAUUUUCUUACUUUAUAAAGUUCAUUUACAUGUUCGACUUUUAUUAUUGGUUUUGCAGGUAUAGGUAUAGGUGUAGGACACUUGCCAAGGACUCUCGAUGAUCAUCCUUUGAGGAGCAUGUAAACAAAUUAAGACAUCUCGUAUCGUUCGUACAACUCGAGAGAAAAUUCGAGUUUUAUACAAUUUAGUAAGCAGACGAGCAACAAGUUCUGAAGUACAUGAUUUGUUGGUUCACGAUAUCGGAGCCAUCAUUCGUUCACAUUGCCCAAUGAAUAUGAGUUAUUAGCAAACCAUUUCUCCAAGUGAGAAAAAUGACCUUAUGGAUGAGAUCACGAUAAGCAUGCGCAAAUGUAUUUAUGCUGCUGGAAAAUUAAUAGCGGA
This 552-nucleotide long non-coding RNA is filed under the name Olea europaea subsp. europaea. The record is from RNAcentral. Lineage: Eukaryota; Viridiplantae; Streptophyta; Magnoliopsida; Lamiales; Oleaceae.